UUUAUUUUCAGGGUGUUGAGUUAGGAACCCUGCGGGUGCGGGGCUGUUUUAUUAAGGGCUUUCCAGGAAUCAGGAGCCCCGAAUAGGAGAGCGGGAAAAGCCCCGCAGAAUUAGUGUUGUUUAUCUGCCCUCUGCGAAGGGGUUUUUGAAUCGUUGGCUAACAAGAAGAGGUAUUCUUGUUAGAGUGGGGUCUCCACCUGAUAUGGAAAGGUUUUAACUUUUCCUAAAAUAAAGUUGGAAAGGA
This is a long non-coding RNA of Malania oleifera, 244 nucleotides long. RefSeq lists it as uncharacterized. NCBI's taxonomy places the organism in Eukaryota, Viridiplantae, Streptophyta, Magnoliopsida, Santalales, Ximeniaceae. The record is from RefSeq and is a predicted model, not a curated record. The transcript is spliced from 3 exons.